This 396-nucleotide ribosomal RNA is filed under the name uncultured bacterium. Its description in RNAcentral is "partial 16S ribosomal RNA". It matches the Rfam family "Bacterial small subunit ribosomal RNA", at positions 523 to 918 of the family's 1533-position model. The record is from RNAcentral.
AUACGUAGGGGGCAAGCGUUAUCCGGAUUUACUGGGUGUAAAGGGCGCGUAGGCGGGGGUGCAAGUCAGAUGUGAAAUCUAUGGGCUUAACUCAUAAACUGCAUUUGAAACUGUAUCUCUUGAGUGCUGGAGAGGUAGACGGAAUUCCUAGUGUAGCGGUGAAAUGCGUAGAUAUAAGGAAGAACACCAGUGGCGAAGGCGGUCUACUGGACAGUAACUGACGCUGAGGCGCGAAAGCGUGGGGAGCAAACAGGAUUAGAUACCCUGGUAGUCCACGCUGUAAACGAUGAAUACUAGGUGUGGGGGGACUGACCCCCUCCGUGCCGCAGUUAACACAAUAAGUAAUCCACCUGGGGAGUACGGCCGCAAGGUUGAAACUCAAAUGAAUUGACGGGG